CAGCCGCCGCGGGAAUACGAAGGGGGCUAGCGUUGUUCGGAUUUACUGGGCGUAAAGGGCGCGUAGGCGGACUGAUAAGUCAGGGGUGAAAUCCCAAGGCUCAACCUUGGAACUGCCUUUGAUACUGUUUGUCUUGAGUUCGAGAGAGGUAAGUGGAACUGCGAGUGUAGAGGUGAAAUUCGUAGAUAUUCGCAAGAACACCAGUGGCGAAGGCGGCUUACUGGCUCGAAACUGACGCUGAGGCGCGAAAGCGUGGGGAGCAAACAGGAUUAGAUACCCCUGUAGUCCCUGUCUCUUAUAC
This 301-nucleotide ribosomal RNA is filed under the name uncultured bacterium. RNAcentral's name for it is "partial 16S ribosomal RNA". It matches the Rfam family "Bacterial small subunit ribosomal RNA", at positions 509 to 807 of the family's 1533-position model. The record is from RNAcentral.